RNAcentral lists this ribosomal RNA (251 nucleotides) under uncultured prokaryote. Its description in RNAcentral is "partial 16S rRNA". It matches the Rfam family "Bacterial small subunit ribosomal RNA", at positions 525 to 775 of the family's 1533-position model. The record is from RNAcentral.
ACGUAGGGGGCAAGCGUUGUCCGGAAUGAUUGGGCGUAAAGGGCGCGUAGGCGGCCUUGUAAGUCCGAUGUGAAAUUCCUGCUUUUAAGGUAGGAAUUGCAUUGGAAACUGUAGGGCUUGAGUGCAGGAGAGGUAAGCGGAAUUCCCGGUGUAGUGGUGAAGUGCAUAGAGCUCAGGAUGAACACCAGUGGGGAUGGCGGCUUACUGGACAAUAACUGACGCUGAUGCGCGAAAGUUUGGUUAGCAAACAG